GACGUAGGGCGCGAGCGUUGUCCGGAUUUAUUGGGCGUAAAGAGCUCGUAGGCGGCUUGUCGCGUCGUCCGUGAAAACCUGCAGCUCAACUGCAGGCUUGCGGUCGAUACGGGCAGGCUGGAGUUCGGUAGGGGAGACUGGAAUUCCUGGUGUAGCGGUGAAAUGCGUAGAUAUCUGGAGGAAUACCGGUGGCGAAGGCGGCAUCCUGGACCAUUACUGACGCUGAGGCGCGAAAGCUAGGGGAGCAAACGGG
This 253-nucleotide ribosomal RNA is filed under the name uncultured bacterium. RNAcentral's name for it is "partial 16S ribosomal RNA". It matches the Rfam family "Bacterial small subunit ribosomal RNA", at positions 524 to 776 of the family's 1533-position model. The record is from RNAcentral.